CCCUUAGAUGUUCUGGGCCGCACGCGUGCUACACUGAGUGGAUCAGCGGGUCAGGUUACGCGAGAGCGUUUCCUAAUCUUCAAAUCCGCUCGUGAUGGGGAUUGACGGUUGCAAUUUUCCGUCAUGAACGAGGAAUACCUUGUAAGCGCGGGUCAUCAUCCCGCGCUGAAUACGUCCCUGCCCUUUGUACACACCGCCCGUCACUCCUACCGAUUGAGUGGUCCGGUGAGGCUUUGGGAUCUAAGCGAAAAGAGCGUUUCGCUCCUUUUGCUGGGAGAACUCAGUCGAACCUUAUCAUUUAGAGGAAGGAGAAGUCGUAACA
Molecule: ribosomal RNA, 322 nt
Filed under: uncultured eukaryote
Lineage: Eukaryota
Description: partial 18S ribosomal RNA
Rfam family: Eukaryotic small subunit ribosomal RNA
Source: RNAcentral